GAUGAAAGAACGUAGCGAAAUGCGAUAAGUAGUGUGAAUUGCAGAAUUCAGUGAAUCAUCGAAUCUUUGAACGCACAUUGCGCCUCCUGGUAUUCCGGGAGGCAUGCCUGUUCGAGCGUCAUCAAAAACCUCAACCAUAAUUUAUUAUGAGUUGGUAUUGCAUUGGACUCCUUGUGGGUCCUCUGCGAAAUUCAAUGGCGAAGAGCCACGCAGCCAAAGCGUAGUAUAACUAUUUCGUUAUGGAAGCGUUGGUGCCUCUGCCGUAACCCCCCAAUUUCUUAGUUUUUGACCUCGGAUCAGGUAGGGAUACCCGCUGAACUUAAGCAUAUCAAUAAGCGGAGGA
RNAcentral lists this unclassified non-coding RNA (343 nucleotides) under soil metagenome. RNAcentral's name for it is "partial contains 5.8S ribosomal RNA, internal transcribed spacer 2, and large subunit ribosomal RNA". The stretch from base 6 to 121 matches the Rfam family "5.8S ribosomal RNA", at positions 39 to 154 of the family's 154-position model. The record is from RNAcentral.